Molecule: non-coding RNA, 109 nt
Organism: Acanthosepion pharaonis
Lineage: Eukaryota; Metazoa; Mollusca; Cephalopoda; Sepiida; Sepiidae
Source: the annotation of a GenBank genome assembly
GUCGCAUCACGUUGAAACCCCAGUUCCCUUACGGUCACCAAAGUUAAGCAACGUGGAUCCUGCUUAAUACCUAGAUGGUUGACCGUUUGGGAAUACCAUGUGCUGUAAG